UUACUCAAAAUCUACAAGGGAGAGUGCUCCAAUUAGAGCAAAACAGAGGAGGAAAACCUUUUCAUCGUCGGCUGUCACGACCAGCUCCGGCCACACUGGAAAGCCUGCUUUGAAAGCCCAGGUAGUUCCAGCAGGUCUUUCCUGGCGCUGACCACAGAUUCACAGUGGGGCUCAACCUGCCCAAUGGGGAUGAUUCCUACAGAGAGAUACUGUUACAAGGACAGAAGAGAUUUGUCAUGGAACUUGAAAUUCCUGUCCUAUUACCAGACCAUACAGCCUAGGGGAUACUACACAUAUUUCUUAACUAACCCCCCCAAUUACUUUGUGAUUUAUGUAAUUAAUUAUAUUGCAUUCUAUAUUUUGUAUUAAAAAGCAUUAAUGUGUUAAAUAUAAGCAUUGAAAAAUA
This is a long non-coding RNA of Felis catus (domestic cat), 406 nucleotides long. RefSeq lists it as uncharacterized. NCBI's taxonomy places the organism in Eukaryota, Metazoa, Chordata, Mammalia, Carnivora, Felidae. The transcript has 2 exons. The record is from RefSeq and is a predicted model, not a curated record.